GAAAUGCCAAUUAAACAAGAGAACAGGGAAGUUAAGAGAACUUCCCGACACCACCUUUGGAGAGGAGCCGGAAGCAGAGACCGUUCACCAGAACGCUGCCUGAGGUGGAGGCUACCAGGGAUGCAUGAAGUCAGAGUGAAGAGAGGCAAACAAGAGGAGCCCCUGAAGGAAAUUGAAAGGGAAAAUUCCAUGGAAGGCAAAGGAGGAACUCAGAAGAGGAAGGAAGCCAGCAAAGGUCUUGAAAACCACGUCAGGGAGUUCAGGUAAGAUGAUAAUGGUUGGUCCUUUGUAUUUGGCCGCU
Molecule: long non-coding RNA, 301 nt
Filed under: Zalophus californianus (California sea lion)
Lineage: Eukaryota; Metazoa; Chordata; Mammalia; Carnivora; Otariidae
Description: lncRNA (ENSZCAG00015010476.1)
Source: RNAcentral